CAACUUAAAGCUUAAUUAGUAAAGUAUUUCAUUUACAUUGAAAAAAAAUUUGUGCAAAUCAAUUUAAAUUGA
Molecule: non-coding RNA, 72 nt
Organism: Aedes albopictus (Asian tiger mosquito)
Lineage: Eukaryota; Metazoa; Arthropoda; Insecta; Diptera; Culicidae
Source: Rfam